Long non-coding RNA from Empidonax traillii (willow flycatcher), 3483 nucleotides. RefSeq lists it as uncharacterized. The transcript has 2 exons. NCBI's taxonomy places the organism in Eukaryota, Metazoa, Chordata, Aves, Passeriformes, Tyrannidae. The record is from RefSeq and is a predicted model, not a curated record.
GGGCGGGGAGCGGCAACCGACGGGCAGCGUGGCCCGGCCCGGGACCCGGUGGCUGCGGGGGUAGGGGUCGCUUAGCCCGCCCCGAGGAACCCACGGGAAAAGCCUCCGCGUGGGUACCGAGGGAUGCCAGCCCGGGCCGGGGGACGUGGCCAGCACCGCCUCCGCCCCUCGGAGCAGCAUCGGCAUCCACGGGCACGCUUAGGCCAGGACUAGCUCUGCAUAGGAAGACAGCCGUGCACUCGUUCAUGUCCAAAGGCUGUAUUUACAGGAAUGCAGGGAGAGAAACCAACACUCUUCACUUCCAUCUGGGAUUUCGAAAAAACCAGGGAACCCUGGAGCUGGACUGCAGAGCUGUGCUCUCCCUUACACCUGGAGAAGCCACCCUAUUCCAAAGAGGGAACAUUUUGUGUAAGAAGUCGCCCCCAGCCAUGCACAGAACAUGCUCCUGUCCAGACUUGCUCUCUGUGACAUGAUUUUUGCUGAACAAGACUCAGCAAUUGGGCAGCUGCCAGCCCUGUACAAAAGCUGGCUCUGCAGCUACACAGCCCUGGCUCCGUGGCUGAACCACCAGCACAAAGACCCUUUGGGAAACUGAAGCACCUUUAUUCUGCCAGGGUUAGAAGCAAACGUACUUGGAUUGCAGAACUCGUCCCCAGGUGAGGCCAGAACUGUACACGAUUUCACAACAGAGUUAAAACAGUCACAGAGGCAAGUCUAUUGAGGUGGUCUGAGGCCAAGUGUAAGGCCUCCCACCUUCAGCACAGGGAAGUAAAGGAGGAGGGAAUUAACAUGUAAAAGGUACAUGGAAAGCAGAAACAGUCAUAGUCCCAGCCACAGAUGCAGAGCAGCUGCUCAGUGCUUGGGUGAGUAGCAUUAGAAUGGCAAAGAUAAGAUAAAUCCUUUCAAAGAUGGCAAACACACACAUUUGGAUUUCUGAUUAACCUCUGCCACUCCUCAUACCUUUCCAUCAAAUUAGCACGGCAUUCACAUCUGCCUGGAAACACAUCCACCCACUGCUGGGAGGCCACACAAUGAACACUGGCUCUUACAGACUCCCGGAUCAUCAAACCAGCAAGGCCUGAGCACAACCUCAUCCUGCUCAAAAAAUACCACACCACAUGCUUAAUUCACAUCAGGCUCAAUGGGAUUCACAGCAGUGCUUACUUUGCUCAACAGGGAAAGGAUUAUUCAUAUUUAAGCACACGCAGAUUGCGAGUCAUCUUGACUUGACCUCUGAGAAGCUGCUAACACCACUUGUCAGCAGAAAGCCUAAAGGAGAAGCAUCUGUCGAAACCACGACAGCAUCGAAGGAAGAUAAACAACCCCUGAAAUACCAGGGGUGUUUUAAAUCCCAUGACUUAUGUGAAAGUAAAUACUUCACUGGACUUGCAGAGUCAAGAGCAUCUCCUAAGAAAUGGGUCGUCAAAGCAUAAAAGAGCAACUGCUGUUACAGAGAAGACAUCAAAUCUGUAUCUUACUGCUCUCACUUCAGGAAUUUUCAUGGAAACAACCCUCUGAUAAUCUGAACCUAUUUCACUUGCUGGUGGCUGGUGCUUGUUUCUGCUGGCACACAAAGACACAAGAAUUGUGAAAUCCAUAGUCAGGUGCUCCUGCAGCCAAUGUGCCUCAUGGCAUCUCUCCUGGCCCUAAUCAUCAGAAUUAGGAAGAACUACUGAAAAUGAAAGCAACUUUCACUUUUUUGUUUUUUUUUUUAAACACAAACCCCAGUUGCAGACGAGCAUUCUGGAUUCUACGAAGCCCAUAAACAGUGACAACACUCGAUCUGUUCCAACUUACUCCUCCCUUGCCCCUCCCUGAAAUUGCUACUAUUACUUUUAUUUAAUUAGCACCAGGCAGCACACCUUGGUUUCAGAGACCACGAGUGGUCAGUGUGGGGUAGAUAACUUCCUGUUUCAUGUCCCCAGCCCAGGGAAUCUCUUCGUUCCACCAGAUAAACAGCUGUAUUAUCACAAUUGUUACAACUCCUCGACUACUACAAGCCUUUCCAUGCAUUAUUAAUCCCCAUCACGUGGGGGCUUAUGGUGCAAUAAGAAAACUCAUUUCCUCUCAGGUUCUCUGUCAAGACUAAAGAGCUCCUUUAUGCAAACAGAUCCUGCACAUAACUGGCUCCGAGAGAAGUGUUCGCACUGCAGACUUGAGUCAAUGUUUCCCCAGCUUUCAAGAGAGCGCAGCAGGAGCUCCUGUGACUGUCAGAAAGAUGAUGCUGUUCUAACAACUACCACGAUUCCCACUUGAACACACACACAAGAAGAGCUCCUGUUGCUAUUUGAGAUUAUUCCCUGAGAUUACCAGGACUGAGCCUCUCAAGAGCCUCACAGUUACGUUACGUUCACAUUUGCGUGGGCCUGACUCAUCUCAGAAGAGUGAAACACAUGUACAGCAUUUACAGGUUAUCACUCUGCUACCACACCAGGGUUGUGAAUCCCUCACAGCAGGAUGUAUUACUCAACAAAGCUACUCCACUUGCUAGCAGUUUAUCCUAGAUGAGGCCAUGUCGGCACCUCCUAACUGGCAAAAAACAAAGCACCUUCCAAAAGGAGAGCAAUUAGAGAUUUAUUAACGAUCUCCUCCCACCCAAACCCACUCCUGGUUUCCCAGCUGGAUAAGCAGUACUUGGGGAACUUGUGCUCUGCGUAAGAUUGGAGACUUCACUGCUGUGGAAAACAACAUACCAGAAGACUUUGUAAUUCCUUCCUUUCAUAACCACUGGGGGGAAAAGGAGAAACAGAGAUUUUUAGACAAAUUUUGAAGUCUUGAUUAAAACCACAGCAGACCAAAAAAAAAAAAAAAUCUCCUUGAGUCAUUGAACCAUGCAGGAAAAUGCAUGACAAACUCAGAACAUGACUCAGGAUUUUUAAGUUAAAAACAAGAAGGACCUUCACUGACUAUAUUUCAAAUUCAUCUUAAGCUUAAAAGCUGGUGAUUUUAUAGUCUGUUUUAGCUUGGAUGGAAACAGAUGGAUUUUGUUUCCCUCCUGAAGGAUUGCAAAGGCUCCAGACUGAAGGAUGUAGACCGAAACAUAUACCUAUGCUAACAAUUUUGCAGCGCUUUGUUAGUAAAAACAUGAGUCAGGAUCUGUCAUUACCUUUGGAGAGGUGCCCACAGAAAACGCACAGUGUUGAAAAAUGAGAAAGCCAGAGUGGUGACAAACCCUCUGGAGGCUGGAAGCCUGCUGGAGCAAGAGAUGGAGCACAAUAAAGACUCCAGAUCCAUUAAGCUGGACUGGUGCACCUGCAGGUUGCUAUAGCGAGUGCUCAUUCACCGGCAAACCGCAACCCAAUUACACACCGGGGUCACAAAGCACUCUGGUGUCGUUGAGCAUUUUCCAGCCUUAUGUCCUUAUGUGGAAACGAAUGAGACUGAAGCAGUCUUGGGGUACUCUGUAAAGCAGGAAAGGAAAUACAGUCAGUGCAGAGCCAAACCAUUUACAGCAGGACAGGAAGACUGAAGGAAGUUCUGCAC